Mytilus californianus (California mussel) is the source of this 540-nucleotide long non-coding RNA. RefSeq lists it as uncharacterized. The transcript has 4 exons. The record is from RefSeq and is a predicted model, not a curated record. NCBI's taxonomy places the organism in Eukaryota, Metazoa, Mollusca, Bivalvia, Mytilida, Mytilidae.
UCCAGUUCAAACCAAGCAGGAAACCAGGCAUACAAUUUGGAAGAUUGUCUAGACACACAUUGAAGUUAUUGACCUCUCCUGUUGAUUUCUUUAAAUUGUUUUUAACUGGUACAUUGCUAACAUCUCUCUGCUUGUCUACAAAUCAACAUGCUGCAUACCAUAUCAGGAAUGGUAGAUUUCAGUCAUAUGCUGGACCUACUGGAACUUGGGAAGUUGUUACAGAGCAGGAAAUGGAAAAGUUCAUUGGUAUAUUGAUAUACAUGUCCUUUAUGAAACUCAGUACUGUUGACCGCUACUGGAGUAGAGAUGUCCUGUACAGAUUCAACCCUGUUCCAUUGUGUAUGUCAUGCUUAAGAUUUAAGGCCAUCCUUUCAUUUCUACAGAUCACACCUUUACCUGAUGUUGACAAAGAUAAUAAACUAACAAGAGUAGAACCAAUCAUUGAACAUGUAAGAAAUAUUUCAAGGGAACUUUUUCAACCUUAUGAAAAGAUUGCUGUUGACGAAAGAAUUGUUAAGUCAAAACAUAAAUGGAGUGGAA